RNAcentral lists this transfer RNA (73 nucleotides) under Diaphorina citri (Asian citrus psyllid). It matches the Rfam family "tRNA". Rfam says of the family: Transfer RNA (tRNA) molecules are approximately 80 nucleotides in length. Their secondary structure includes four short double-helical elements and three loops (D, anti-codon, and T loops). Further hydrogen bonds mediate the characteristic L-shaped molecular structure. tRNAs have two regions of fundamental functional importance: the anti-codon, which is responsible for specific mRNA codon recognition, and the 3' end, to which the tRNAs corresponding amino acid is attached (by aminoacyl-tRNA synthetases). tRNAs cope with the degeneracy of the genetic code in two manners: having more than one tRNA (with a specific anti-codon) for a particular amino acid; and 'wobble' base-pairing, i.e. permitting non-standard base-pairing at the 3rd anti-codon position. Lineage: Eukaryota; Metazoa; Arthropoda; Insecta; Hemiptera; Psyllidae. The record is from Rfam by way of RNAcentral.
GCCUAGUUAGCUCGAUGGGUAGAGCAUCUGCCUUGUAAGCGCUAGGUCGGGGGUUCGAUUCCCGCCCGGGGCG